This 328-nucleotide unclassified non-coding RNA is filed under the name soil metagenome. RNAcentral's name for it is "partial contains 5.8S ribosomal RNA, internal transcribed spacer 2, and large subunit ribosomal RNA". The stretch from base 3 to 120 matches the Rfam family "5.8S ribosomal RNA", at positions 37 to 154 of the family's 154-position model. The record is from RNAcentral.
GGUGAAGAACGUAGCGAAAUGCGAUAAGUAAUGUGAAUUGCAGAAUUCAGUGAAUCAUCGAAUCUUUGAACGCACAUUGCGCCCCUUGGUAUUCCGAGGGGCAUGCCUGUUCGAGCGUCAUUAUAACCCUCAAGCUCAGCUUGGUGUUGGGGCCUGCUGCACUGGCAGCCCUUAAAAUCAGUGGCGGCGCCAUCUGGCUCUAAGCGUAGUAAUUCUUCUCGCUAUGGAGUCCUGGUGGAUGCUUGCCAUCAACCCCCAAUUUUUCUAUGGUUGACCUCGGAUCAGGUAGGGAUACCCGCUGAACUUAAGCAUAUCAAUAAGCGGAGGA